This 385-nucleotide ribosomal RNA is filed under the name uncultured bacterium. RNAcentral describes it as "bacterial SSU rRNA". It matches the Rfam family "Bacterial small subunit ribosomal RNA", at positions 30 to 416 of the family's 1533-position model. The record is from RNAcentral.
AUUGAACGCUGGCGGCAUGCCUUACACAUGCAAGUCGAACGGCAGCGGGCCUUCGGGUGCCGGCGAGUGGCGAACGGGUGAGUAAUGCAUCGGAACGUGCCAUUGAGUGGGGGGAUAACGUAGCGAAAGUUGCGCUAAUACCGCAUAUUCUGUGAGCAGGAAAGCAGGGGACCGCAAGGCCUUGCGCUCUUUGAGCGGCCGAUGUCAGAUUAGCUAGUUGGUGAGGUAAAGGCUUACCAAGGCGACGAUCUGUAGCGGGUCUGAGAGGAUGAUCCGCCACACUGGAACUGAGACACGGUCCAGACUCCUACGGGAGGCAGCAGUGGGGAAUUUUGGACAAUGGGGGCAACCCUGAUCCAGCCAUGCCGCGUGAGUGAAGAAGGCC